AGUGAACGCUGGCGGUAGGCCUAACACAUGCAAGUCGAACGGCAGCACAGUAAGAGCUUGCUCUUACGGGUGGCGAGUGGCGGACGGGUGAGGAAUACAUCGGAAUCUACUUUUUCGUGCGGGAUAACGUAGGGAAACUUACGCUAAUACCGCAUACGACCUACGGGUGAAAGCAGGGGAUCUUCGGACCUUGCGCGAUUGAAUGAGCCGAUGUCGGAUUAGCUAGUUGGCGGGGUAAAGGCCCACCAAGGCGACGAUCCGUAGCUGGUCUGAGAGGAUGAUCAGCCACACUGGAACUGAGACACGGUCCAGACUCCUACGGGAGGCAGCAGUGGGGAAUAUUGGACAAUGGGCGCAAGCCUGAUCCAGCCAUACCGCGUGGGUGAAGAAGGCCUUCGGGUUGUAAAGCCCUUUUGUUGGGAAAGAAAAGCAGCAGGUUAAUACCCCGCUGUUCUGACGGUACCCAAAGAAUAAGCACCGGCUAACUUCGUG
RNAcentral lists this ribosomal RNA (492 nucleotides) under uncultured bacterium. Its description in RNAcentral is "partial 16S ribosomal RNA". It matches the Rfam family "Bacterial small subunit ribosomal RNA", at positions 29 to 507 of the family's 1533-position model. The record is from RNAcentral.